GAUGAACGCUGGCGGCGUGCCUAAUACAUGCAAGUCGAGCGAACAGACGAGGAGCUUGCUCCUCUGACGUUAGCGGCGGACGGGUGAGUAACACGUGGAUAACCUACCUAUAAGACUGGGAUAACUUCGGGAAACCGGAGCUAAUACCGGAUAAUAUAUUGAACCGCAUGGUUCAAUAGUGAAAGACGGUUUUGCUGUCACUUAUAGAUGGAUCCGCGCCGCAUUAGCUAGUUGGUAAGGUAACGGCUUACCAAGGCAACGAUGCGUAGCCGACCUGAGAGGGUGAUCGGCCACACUGGAACUGAGACACGGUCCAGACUCCUACGGGAGGCAGCAGUAGGGAAUCUUCCGCAAUGGGCGAAAGCUUGACGGAGCAACGCCGCGUGAGUGAUGUAGGUCUUCGGAUCGUAAAACUCUGUUAUUAGGGAAGAACAAAUGUGUAAGUAACGAUGCACGUCUUGACGGUACCGAAGCAGAAAGCCACGGCUAACUACGU
Molecule: ribosomal RNA, 496 nt
Filed under: uncultured bacterium
Lineage: Bacteria
Description: partial 16S ribosomal RNA
Rfam family: Bacterial small subunit ribosomal RNA
Source: RNAcentral